ACGCACGCUGGCGGCGUGCUUAACACAUGCCAGUCGAACGGAAAGGCCUGCUUUCCCUUGUGGAUUGCGGGUACUCGAGUGGCGAACGGGUGAGUAACACGUGAGUGAUCUGCCCCCAACUUGGGUAUAAGCCUGGGAAACUGGGUCUAAUUCCCGAUAGGACUGCAGGGUGGUGCCUGUGGUGGAAAACGAUUUUCUAGUGGUUGGGGAUGAGCUCGCGGCCUAUCAGCUUGUUGGUGGGGUAAUGGCCUACCAAGGCGGCGACGGGUAGCCGGCCUGAGAGGGUGGACGGCCACAUUGGGACUGAGAUACGGCCCAGACUCCUACGGGAGGCAGCAGUGGGGAAUAUUGCACAAUGGGCGGAAGCCUGAUGCAGCGACGCCGCGUGGGGGAUGACGGCCUUCGGGUUGUAAACUCCUUUCGACCGCGAGGAAGCCACCUGGUUGGAAGGGUGGUGACGGUAGUGGUAGAAGAAGCACCGGCUAACUACGUG
Molecule: ribosomal RNA, 493 nt
Filed under: uncultured bacterium
Lineage: Bacteria
Description: partial 16S ribosomal RNA
Rfam family: Bacterial small subunit ribosomal RNA
Source: RNAcentral